Molecule: non-coding RNA, 808 nt
Filed under: Chiasmocleis albopunctata (white-spotted humming frog)
Lineage: Eukaryota; Metazoa; Chordata; Amphibia; Anura; Microhylidae
Description: partial small subunit ribosomal RNA
Rfam family: Bacterial small subunit ribosomal RNA
Source: RNAcentral
AGCCUUUUUGUCAUCUAUUGCCAAUCUUACACAUGCAAGUAUCCGCAUACCCGUGAAAACGCCCUCAACCCCUCUACUAAGGAAGAGGAGCCGGUAUCAGGCACAAUAUACUCAGCCCACUACACCUAGCCACGCCACGCCCACAAGGGUAUUCAGCAGUGAUAAACAUUGUUUAUAAGCGCCAGCUUGAAUCAGCUAUGGCAAAGAGGGCCGGCAAAUCCGGUGCCAGCCGCCGCGGCUACACCGUUAGGCCCAAGUUGACACACAUCGGCGUUAAGCGUGAUUAAAGUGACUUUAUAGAUUAGAGUUAAACCCAAACUUAGUUGUGAUACACUUGUCCCCAGGAAACCCAAAAACGAAAGCUACUCUAACCCAUCCACUUGACCCCACGACAGCUAGGAUACAAACUGGGAUUAGGUACCCCACUAUGCCUAGCCGUAAAAUAUACACUCACUCCAUAAAUCGCCAGGGAAUUACGAGCCCAAGCUUACAACCCAAAGGACUUGACGGUGUCCCACCCACCUAGAGGAGCCUGUUCUGUAAUCGAUUAUCCCCGAUAAACCUCACCAUUUCUAGUAAACUCAGCCUGUAUACCUCCGUCGUAAGCUUACCAUGUGAACGUCUACCAGUGAGCUCAAAGAUCCCCACCCACACGUCAGGUCAAGGUGCAGCUAAUGAACUGGGAAGAAAUGGGCUACAAUUUCUAUAAUAGAACAAACGAAAGGCUACAUGAAACAUAGCCACUGAAGGCGGAUUUAGCAGUAAAAAGAAAAUAGAGAGUUCUUUUUAACAAGGCGCUGGGACGCGU